RNAcentral lists this ribosomal RNA (264 nucleotides) under uncultured bacterium. Its description in RNAcentral is "partial 16S ribosomal RNA". It matches the Rfam family "Bacterial small subunit ribosomal RNA", at positions 793 to 1055 of the family's 1533-position model. The record is from RNAcentral.
GUCCACGCCGUAAACGGUGGGCGCUAGGUGUGGGGAACCUUCCACGUUCUCCGUGCCGUAGCUAACGCAUUAAGCGCCCCGCCUGGGGAGUACGGCCGCAAGGCUAAAACUCAAAGGAAUUGACGGGGGCCCGCACAAGGCGGCGGAGCAUGCGGCUUAAUUCGAUUGCAACGCGAAGAACCUUACCUAGGCUUGACAUGUGGGGAAAUCUGUCAGAGAUGGCAGGUCCGCAAGGGUCCCAUACAGGUGGUGCAUGGCUGUCGU